CACUCCCCUGUCAUAUAAAGUGAUCGUAUUCUCUUUCGGGUUUGAGCCUCGUCGCCUCUCUUGGCACAUAAUGGCCUGGAAAUUCUUCGUCGGCGGCGACUGGAACUUCUCCGGCCUGUGGAUCUUCGUCGUCUAUGCUCACGUCUUGCUAGGAUCCGUCUUGAUGUUAACUAUCCAUCUGCAGGAUUAAUGGGACCAGCGAGGAGGUGAAGAAAAUUGUCAGCACUUUGAACGACCGCAAAGUUGCAUCAGCUGAUGUUGUUGGUAUAGAUCUCGAUCAAAUGUUUGGAACUCGUUUGGAAAUUUUGUACUUAUUAUUUGGACGCUUCCCCCUUUUGUUGGAGUUGGAGUGAGGAUAUAUCUUGGUCUCGGUGAUAUUAGCAACUAAAAUCUUUAAUUCGUUCAAAUAUGUAGCUCUUGCUGGUUGAUUGGUGAGCUCUUGGAUGACUGGUUCUUAACAAAUAACCUUGUCCGGUUCAGUGUGAAGGCUAGUUUUGUGUUUUUUGGAUGGUGGCAUUUUAAAAGUCAUUAUAAUUCCUUU
Musa acuminata AAA Group (dessert banana) is the source of this 541-nucleotide long non-coding RNA. RefSeq lists it as uncharacterized. The transcript has 3 exons. Lineage: Eukaryota; Viridiplantae; Streptophyta; Magnoliopsida; Zingiberales; Musaceae. The record is from RefSeq and is a predicted model, not a curated record.